This 162-nucleotide ribosomal RNA is filed under the name Macaranga lowii var. kostermansii. Its description in RNAcentral is "5.8S ribosomal RNA". It matches the Rfam family "5.8S ribosomal RNA". From Rfam's summary of the family: 5.8S ribosomal RNA (5.8S rRNA) is a component of the large subunit of the eukaryotic ribosome. It is transcribed by RNA polymerase I as part of the 45S precursor that also contains 18S and 28S rRNA. The record is from RNAcentral. Lineage: Eukaryota; Viridiplantae; Streptophyta; Magnoliopsida; Malpighiales; Euphorbiaceae.
AACGACUCUCGGCAACGGAUAUCUCGNCUCUCGCAUCGAUGAAGAACGCAGCAAAAUGCGAUACUUGGUGUGAAUUGCAGAAUCCCGUGAAUCAUCGAGUUUUUGAACGCAAGUUGCGCCCGAAGCCUUCCGGCCAAGGGCACGUCUGCCUGGGUGUCANGC